CCAGUGUUUAAGACCAGCGCACUCAACGAGUCUUUGCUAGAUCUUCUGCUAUCCUGCAUUAGUCUUGCGUCAAUACUCAUCCUCUUUUGGACGAUGGUCUUCUUGGCAUUCACAGACACAGCCUGAGCCCCGUUUCAUUCCCUGCUUCACCUGCCUCCCUCUUUGUCACAGCAACUUGGAUUCUCUGGAACAUUCCACCUGGACUCCCAAUUACUGGAAAAUCACCUGGACCUCUUUGACCUCCUCACCCCACAUCACCUUCCACUUGCAAAACCAUGACACUGAGCUCCACCGCCCGAGCCACGACCCACUCCCCGAAUUCCCCU
Molecule: long non-coding RNA, 326 nt
Organism: Pelmatolapia mariae (spotted tilapia)
Lineage: Eukaryota; Metazoa; Chordata; Actinopteri; Cichliformes; Cichlidae
Exons: 3
Source: RefSeq, a predicted model, not a curated record